CACGUAGGGCGCAAGCGUUUGUCCGGAAUUAUUGGGCGUAAAGAGCUCGUAGGCGGUCUGUUGCGUCCGCUGUGAAAACUCGGGGCUUAACCCCGAGCCUGCAGUGGAUACGGGCAGACUAGAGGUAGGUAGGGGAGAAUGGAAUUCCCGGUGUAGCGGUGAAAUGCGCAGAUAUCGGGAGGAACACCGGUGGCGAAGGCGGUUCUCUGGGCCUUACCUGACGCUGAGGUGCGAAAGCGUGGGGGAGCAAACAGG
RNAcentral lists this ribosomal RNA (255 nucleotides) under uncultured bacterium. RNAcentral describes it as "partial 16S ribosomal RNA". It matches the Rfam family "Bacterial small subunit ribosomal RNA", at positions 524 to 776 of the family's 1533-position model. The record is from RNAcentral.